GCCAACUUCCGGGUUGCCCCUCGUCACGUGACAGCGCAGUUUCAGGAUUCCCGCAAAGUCUGAGAGCGGCCCAUCUGCUGCGUGAAGGGAGGAGGUGUAACGACUUAAAAUGGCGUGGGCGUCGUGUAUUAGCCAAUAGUAUUGUGGAGCAGACUAGCGGUGACGUUUCGGGGCCGCCGCUGGGCAACACAGACGUUCAACUCCCCCCAAUGAUUUUCUAUGGGCUUGAGAUCUGGAGAGUGGCGAGGCCACUCCAGGACCUCGAAAUGCUUCUUCCGAAGCCACUCCUUCAUCGCCCGGGCCGUGUGUUUGGGAUCAUAGUCACGCUGAAAGACCCAGCCACGUUUCAUCUUCAAUGCCCUUGCCGACGGAAGGAGGUUUUCGCUCAAAAUCUCACGCUACGCGACCCCAUUCAUUCUUUCCUUUACACGGAUCAGUCGUCCUGGUCCCUUUGCAGAAAAACAGCCCCAAAGCCCGAUGUUUCCACCCCCAUGCUUCACAGUGUUCUUUGGCUGCAACUCAGCUUUCUUUCUCCUCCAAACACCACAAGUUGAGUUUUUACCCAAAAGUUGUAUUUUGGUUUCAUCUGACCACAUGACAUUCUCCCAAUCCUCUUCUGGAUCAUCCAAAUGCUCUCGAGCAAACUUCAGACGAGCCUGGACAUGUACUGGCUUAAGCACUGGCUUAACGAGUGGAGGACAGAGGAGCCUCUUAAAGAAGAAGUUCCAGAUUCUUCCUCUUCCUCGUCUUCGUCCUGCCGUCCGGAGGCUCUCUGUUGCUACGGGGACCAAGCGCAUCAAAUCAAAAAGGCGUCACAGCGCAGACGACCAAGCCGGCCGGGCGGAGUCUACCUGGAAGGCCGCCGACGGCGUCAGGAAGGAGGAGGCGGUCCCGUCCAAAGAGUUGGCGCGCACGAUGUCUAAGCGCGCCGGGUAGUCGGGCGGGCGCAGCGAGCUCCUGAACACCUGACGACGCAUACGCAAUCGGCGUCAUCGCAACAACUACAAAACGUCAUUUGUGACACAAUUGCGAGCGAAUUAACUGAAUCGUUGAAACCAACGAGAAUUGGGGAAAUGUCUCCUUUCAUUUGGGGGAAAUCCUGAUACGGAAUACGGAAUAAUCACAAACUUAUAAUAAUGUGAAUUCUUGGAAUAUCACAAGUAGUAGCCAGA
Long non-coding RNA from Phyllopteryx taeniolatus (common seadragon), 1172 nucleotides. RefSeq lists it as uncharacterized. The transcript has 3 exons. The record is from RefSeq and is a predicted model, not a curated record. Lineage: Eukaryota; Metazoa; Chordata; Actinopteri; Syngnathiformes; Syngnathidae.